GAUGGAUAGGGGUUCUGAGAGGAAGGUCCCCCACAUUGGAACUGAGACACGGUCCAAACUCCUACGAGAGGCAGCAGUGAGGAAUAUUGGUCAAUGGACGAGAGUCUGAACCAGCCAAGUAGCGUGAAGGAUGACUGCCCUAUGGGUUGUAAACUUCUUUUAUAUGGGAAUAAAACAGGGUAUGCAUACCCUCUUGUAUGUACCAUAUGAAUAAGGAUCGGCUAACUCCGUGCCAGCAGCCGCGGUAAUACGGAGGAUCCGAGCGUUAUCCGGAUUUAUUGGGUUUAAAGGGAGCGUAGGUGGAUUGUUAAGUCAGUUGUGAAAGUUUGCGGCUCAACCGUAAAAUUGCAGUUGAAACUGGCAGUCUUGAGUACAGUAGAGGUGGGCGGAAUUCGUGGUGUAGCGGUGAAAUGCUUAGAUAUCACGAAGAACUCCGAUUGCGAAGGCAGCUCACUAGACUGCAACUGACACUGAUGCUCGAAAGUGUGGGUAUCAAACAGGAUUAGAUACCCUGGUAGUCCACACAGUAAACGAUGAAUACUCGCUGUUUGCGAUAUAC
This 559-nucleotide ribosomal RNA is filed under the name uncultured bacterium. RNAcentral describes it as "bacterial SSU rRNA". It matches the Rfam family "Bacterial small subunit ribosomal RNA", at positions 278 to 834 of the family's 1533-position model. The record is from RNAcentral.